UCUGUUAGCUUAGAUAGUUUAGAAGUUUCAUCUGGUCUUGUUGAGAUAUAUACACUCUAAAAACAGAUGGUUCUUUAAAGGUUCUUUACAUGUAGUAACGGUUAUAUUUAGAACCAUAGCAUCCUGAAGAACCCUUUUAUGCUGAAAUGGUUCUUUGUGUUAGAGUUUAGGGUUCUUUAUUCCCGUCCUUUUGUUUUUCAAAUCUGUAACUGUCAAAGCACCUCAUUACUGAUUUUCUGGAGUUCAGUGAUACAACUACACAGACUGUCAACAGUUUUUUGGUCACAUGUAAGUGUGAGCAGCUCUUUUAAGCUGAGGAUACUUCUCUCCUCUUCUCCACUAAAUGCAUCACAUCCCACAACCUCAUCAUCUGCAGAUAAACUGUCACUCAGUCACACCAUAAUUAUGGACUUAAAGGCAUAUGAAGAUAUUUCACUGGAACUUGGUCUCCAUCACAUCCAUUUUUUGUUUUUAUUUUGUUUUACUUUGUUUAUAUAUUCAUGUUAAUAAUUUCUUUCUUAAAAUGUCUAUAAUUUAACUUUCAAAUUGUAACUGGUUUCCUACCAAUGUCUUUUUGUCUCUUUUUAGUUCAACAGAAUACGUAAGUGUGACCAGCCCUGUUCAGUUAAAGAUACUUAUCUCCUCUUCACCACCAAGUAACAAAGAUAGAAUUGAUUUGUGCAUUUCAGAUGCUGUCACAUCCUACAACCUCGUCAUCUGCAGAGAGAAACUGACACUCAAUCACACCAAAAUAUACAUAAUGAUGGACUUUCAGGCAUCAUAGAGGAUUAUGAAAAUACAGUAUUUCACUGG
This is a long non-coding RNA of Onychostoma macrolepis, 813 nucleotides long. RefSeq lists it as uncharacterized. NCBI's taxonomy places the organism in Eukaryota, Metazoa, Chordata, Actinopteri, Cypriniformes, Cyprinidae. The transcript has 4 exons. The record is from RefSeq and is a predicted model, not a curated record.